This is a long non-coding RNA of Osmia lignaria (orchard mason bee), 1653 nucleotides long. RefSeq lists it as uncharacterized. The record is from RefSeq and is a predicted model, not a curated record. NCBI's taxonomy places the organism in Eukaryota, Metazoa, Arthropoda, Insecta, Hymenoptera, Megachilidae.
AAGAUGGUAAUAUAAUUUUGUUACACAGAAGAAUAGCAAUUUCCUCGAACGCGACAUUAGUUUCAUGAUAGUCUUUGCUUAUCGUGUCGCGGCACGUUUAAAUUCCUGUUUAUCGAGACACCGAGUAAAUUGCCUUUGAAGGAGUGCUCUACGUCGCGGAGAGAUUUAUCGUUGCACCAACUUCCGUGGACUUUUCCUCGUAGGAAGCGAGACGAUGCUCUCACGUCUGUUGCGACGUGACGGCAUAACUUUGCAUAGACCGAUAUGAGUCACCUACACGUCAUUCGUAUGUACAAACCUUUCCAGUCGAAUCUUAUGAUCGAGAUAAGGCGUUCGAGUGUUCGGCUACGAGCCACGACUCGUUGGCAUCUGCAUCGCGUGAUAAGCUGCGACGCGAAUACGAAAGAGUGUGUCCCUUCUCUGCAAAUUUAUAGGGGAUCUUCUUCCUAUACUGUUUCACCGUGCAAACGCACCGAAACCGAUCGCAUUUUAAUGCUACGAUCACGCAGGAAAUUGUAAUUUUUGGGAAAAUGUUUAUUCAUCUUUUCUAUGAGUAACCUUCAGUGUUUGGAAAUUAACCUUUAAAGGUGUCUAUAAAUUGAAUAAUAUAACAAAGAUUUCAUAUAAAGGUAAAAAAGUUCGAACAAAAUAAGUAAUUUUUCAAAAAUUUAUUUCAAAUAAAGUUGCGACAUAAUAUCCUCCUGAGGUUACAGUGGUACUAAUCUGCAUUCUAAGACGAACUUCUUUUAUAGUAGCCAACGAAGGCUUCUGAUUGGUCAGCUAAGUCUUCAAAGUUUUAGUUGAUCAGUUGACCAAUCAAAACAUCGGCAAUGACCACGUGACAGGGGUAGUAUAUAAGGACGGUGCCCCCAUAAUUCACUGUUCACUUCGAACUUUCGAAGAGUACAGAGUGUAACAUAGUGUUUUAUUAUAAAAUAACCAUCAAACGCAUUUUACAAAGGUUAUUCUUCGUCCUCUUACCUCGUCGUCUCUUCUGCGAAUCAGAACUGUCGAAUUUGAACCUCAUGUCGCCAUCUUUGUUAAUCGAUCGAAGGAUCGAUUAUAGCACUUAUUGUGACAGGACGUGUUGACAGCUUCUUCUACUUUUAGAGGUGUUUAGUAUGAGACUACAUUAAGAGGGAGAGAGAAGAGUAGGAAUGGCGCAAAAACGCCAGAUUCGAAAUUGCUAGCGCUCUCUAUACUCCACGAGGCAAAUUGAAAUACGGGGGCACAGGGAACAACUGACUGCACAAGUUUGUUGAAGCUGCUGGACCUUCCUUGAUGACAUUCGAGAUGACCUUCUUGAUGACUUCCUUCUUCUCCUAUAUGGCAAUCUCCUAGCUGGUUGUUGGCAUCCUCCUACCUGGUUGUUGAGCAUCCCACUACUUGACUGUUGCAAGCAGAUUUUCGCUACUAUCGGUGAGUUGCAUGCUUUAUGGUUCCUCCGGUGCCCAAUCAUGCCGUAGGACGAAUGGUCCGAAACGGCACGGGUCACUGGUUGUAUAUGUGGUUUUGGCGAGCAUAGUGACCAUGGGUAUGAUUAUACUCAUGAGUAGUAACACUUUUAUUGUGUUUCAUUUUCUUAGUUCAGGCUAGGUCUUCUUGUACUUCGCGUUUAUUAAUACAAAUAUUAUUUUAAAUCUGUAUAUUUAA